Molecule: signal recognition particle RNA, 265 nt
Filed under: Chloroflexota bacterium
Lineage: Bacteria; Bacillati; Chloroflexota
Also listed under: 1 other name
Description: signal recognition particle sRNA large type
Rfam family: Bacterial large signal recognition particle RNA
About the family: The signal recognition particle (SRP) is a universally conserved ribonucleoprotein involved in the co-translational targeting of proteins to membranes. Archaeal SRP consists of a 7S RNA and homologues of the eukaryotic SRP19 and SRP54 proteins. In most bacteria, the SRP consists of a 4.5S RNA and the Ffh protein (a homologue of the eukaryotic SRP54 protein).
Source: RNAcentral
CCGUGCUAGGUGGGGAGGUAGCGGUGCCUUUUACUCGAAAUCCGCUCUAGCGAGACUGAAUUCCUCAUGGAGGUUUAUAUUCUAUUAUCUCUAAAUAUUAAUAUUGGUAUUGAUAGUUGGGUUCUAUGCAUCAAAACCUUGUCAACUCCGUCAGGUCUGGAAAGAAGCAGCGGUAAUCAUUGGAAUUUGAGUGACAUAGAGUGGCCUUUCUUGAGCUAAUUUUAAAGUUUAUGUAAUAAAUAUAUAUCGAAUUGUAGGUGCACGG